RNAcentral lists this ribosomal RNA (253 nucleotides) under uncultured bacterium. Its description in RNAcentral is "partial 16S ribosomal RNA". It matches the Rfam family "Bacterial small subunit ribosomal RNA", at positions 524 to 776 of the family's 1533-position model. The record is from RNAcentral.
UACAGAGGGGGCAAGCGUUAUUCGGAAUUAUUGGGCGUAAAGGGCGCGUAGGCGGCCUGGCAAGUGGAAGGUGAAAUCCCUCGGCUUAACCGAGGAACUGCCCUCCAAACUGCUUGGCUUGAGUCCGGGAGAGGUGAGUGGAAUUCCCAGUUUAGCGGUGAAAUGCGCAGAUAUCGGGAAGAACACCCGUGGCGAAGGCGGCACUCUGGGACGGUACUGACGCUGAGACGCGAAAGCGUGGGGAGCGAACAGG